UAGGGAAUCUUCGGCAAUGGACGAAAGUCUGACCGAGCAACGCCGCGUGAGUGAAGAAGGUUUCCGGAUCGUAAAACUCUGUUGUUAGAGAAGAACAAGGACGUUAGUAACUGAACGUCCCCUGACGGUAUCUAACCAGAAAGCCACGGCUAACUACGUGCCAGCAGCCGCGGUAAUACGUAGGUGGCACGCGUUGUCCGGAUUUAUUGGGCGUAAAGCGAGCGCAGGCGGUUUCUUAAGUCUGAUGUGAAAGCCCCCGGCUCAACCGGGGAGGGUCAUUGGAAACUGGGAGACUUGAGUGCAGAAGAGGAGAGUAGAAUUCCAUGUGUAGCGGUGAAAUGCGUAGAUAUAGGGAGGAACACCAGUGGCGAAGGCGGCUCUCUGGUCUGUAACUGACGCUGAGGCUAGAAAGCGUGGGGAGCAAACAGG
RNAcentral lists this ribosomal RNA (429 nucleotides) under Gemmatimonadota bacterium. RNAcentral describes it as "Gemmatimonadetes bacterium partial 16S ribosomal RNA". It matches the Rfam family "Bacterial small subunit ribosomal RNA", at positions 355 to 776 of the family's 1533-position model. Lineage: Bacteria; Pseudomonadati; Gemmatimonadota. The record is from RNAcentral.